UACGUAGGGGGCAAGCGUUGUCCGGAUUUACUGGGUGUAAAGGGCGCGUAGGCGGGUUUGUGAGUCAGUGGUGAAAUCCUGCGGCUUAACUGCAGAACUGCCAUUGAUACUGCAAAUCUUGAGUUCAGAAGAGAGAAGCGGAAUUCCAGGUGUAGUGGUGAAAUACGUAGAUAUCUGGAAGAACACCAGUGGCGAAGGCGGCUUCUUGGUCUGUAACUGACGCUGAGGCGCGAAAGCGUGGGGAU
RNAcentral lists this ribosomal RNA (245 nucleotides) under uncultured bacterium. RNAcentral describes it as "partial 16S ribosomal RNA". It matches the Rfam family "Bacterial small subunit ribosomal RNA", at positions 524 to 768 of the family's 1533-position model. The record is from RNAcentral.